CAAGAGUCAGCACCUCAACAAGGGCUGUUAUGCCCCUAGCUCACCAGCCAGCCUCCCCUGCAUGCACACCUGUGGGGGGAUGGAGAGUCUGCAGGAACUGCAUCCUCAGGAGGCGCAGAGGAAAUGGCUGCCACUACGAUGAAUGAGCUAAUGAAUGGCCCUUCGUAGCGGCGAUCGUGCGCUGCCCGGACUACCCGGCAACAGCAAACACCUUCGCCUGCAACCCCAGUGGAGCUCAAGUCCAGUGGAGAUGGGCUGUGUGAAGGGUGCCGGCCACGCGGGGAAGAAAGCAUGUAGACGGUGCAGAGGAAGGUUCCAGAUGCUCCCAAGAUGCCAACCAGACUUCUCUGGACAGACAACCCCUACCAAUGUGUCCUUGAGCCCAGCUUCCCCAGAGCCCCACCUCACUAUGGAAAGAAAGAGGCAGGCUGGGAGUAUGGAUCGACCAGUCAACACCCAUGUUCAGUGGGGAAGCAAUUACAGAAGCCAGACCUUCCACCUUCUGCAACCCACAAUGACUUUGGGUCCAUACUCCCAGAGGGAUAAAGAAUAGGAAAGCUAUCUGUGGAGAACCCUCUGGAGAACUCUCAGAAGGCUAGAAAUGGACCUACCCUAUGAUCCUGCAAUUCCUCUCCUGGGAAUAUAUCCUAAGGAACCCAACACACCCAUCCAAAAAGAUCUGUGUACACAUAUGUUCUUAGCAGCACAAUUUGUAAUAGCCAAAACCUGGAAGCAACCCAGGUGUCCAACAACAGAUGAGUGGUUAAGUAAGUUGUGGUAUAUAUACACAAUGGAAUACUACUCAACUAUUAAAAAUGGUGACUUCACUGUUUUCAGCCCAUCUUGGAUAGAGCUUGAAAAACAUCAUAUUAAGUGCAAUAAGUUAGAAACAGAAAGAUGAAUAUGGGAUGAUCUCACUCUCAGGCAGAAGUUGAAAAACAAGAUCAGAAGAGAAAACACAAGUAGAACCU
This is a long non-coding RNA of Erinaceus europaeus (western European hedgehog), 971 nucleotides long. RefSeq lists it as uncharacterized. The transcript has 3 exons. The record is from RefSeq and is a predicted model, not a curated record. NCBI's taxonomy places the organism in Eukaryota, Metazoa, Chordata, Mammalia, Eulipotyphla, Erinaceidae.